This 528-nucleotide ribosomal RNA is filed under the name Jackhallia argentinae. RNAcentral's name for it is "partial 16S ribosomal RNA". It matches the Rfam family "Bacterial large subunit ribosomal RNA", at positions 1809 to 2606 of the family's 2925-position model. Lineage: Eukaryota; Metazoa; Arthropoda; Insecta; Diptera; Scenopinidae. The record is from RNAcentral.
AAAAACAUGUCUUUUUGUUAUUUAUAUAAGGUCUAAUCUGCCCACUGAUUUUUUAAAUGGCCGCAGUAUUUUAACUGUGCAAAGGUAGCAUAAUCAUUAGUCUUUUAAUUGAAGGCUUGUAUGAACGAUUGGACGAAAUAUAAGCUGUCUCAUUUAUAUUAAAUUAGAAUUUUAUUUUUUAGUUAAAAAGCUAAAAUUUUGUUAAAAGACGAGAAGACCCUAUAGAUCUUUAUAUUUUAUUUAAUUGUUAAUCUAAAAGAUUUUUAGUGAUUUUAAUUAAAUAAAUUAUUUUGUUGGGGUGACACUAAAAUUUAUAUAACUUUUGUUUUAUUUUACAUUAAUUUAUGAUUGUUUUGAUCCUUCAAUGUUGAUUAUAAAUUUAAGUUACCUUAGGGAUAACAGCGUGAUUUUUUCGGAGAGUUCAUAUCGAUGAGAAAGAUUGCGACCUCGAUGUUGGAUUAAGAUGGAAUUUGGGCGCAGCAGUUCAAUUUUUCAAGUCUGUUCGACUUUUAAUAUCUUACAUGAUCU